Long non-coding RNA from Gasterosteus aculeatus aculeatus (three-spined stickleback), 1809 nucleotides. The record is from Ensembl. Lineage: Eukaryota; Metazoa; Chordata; Actinopteri; Perciformes; Gasterosteidae.
CGUCAUUCCCAUGCAGGCGCGAACGCGCCGAAAGAUAACGGCUGGGACUAAGUAUAAAGUAUUAAAAAUGGAGACAUCAGCGUUCCGCUAUGUCCUACUUGAAUGGACUGAGGGUGAUGAUCGUGGGGCGCAUAGUAUUUUGGCGAUGGACUGUGUCCGGAACUUUUCAGUUCAAGAUUUUUUUGCCUCGACUGAACAAAACGAGAAGCUGGUGGAAUGACGAAAAGGCCGCCAACCCUGGCCGGUUCACCGAGCCAAAAUUGUUGACGUGGCAAGGAGGGUCUUCCAAAUACAAGCACCAGGAGGGUGAGAAGCAGGAGGAGGGUCAUGACAGACUUUCAAAGAACAAGGUUGCCGUGAAAAAGAAAAAUCUUUCUAAAUACGAGGAGGAGGAGGAGGAGGAAGUGGAUGAUGAGGCACGUCAUGACACAAAGAACAAGCGGGCCAGAGAAGAGGAGGAGCAUAUUGGGGAUGAAGACGACAAAGUACCAGCCUCAAAGAAAAAGAGUGCUGCUGAAUUUAGAAAGCAACUGGACGAACAGAUGUGGGAGAGAAAAAAAAUUGAACAAAUGCAAAGAAAUUUGCAGGAGUUGCGAAAUGAAGUUCAGUCUCUCAAAAGUGAAAAUGCACAUCUGAAAGAUGUUCUGGAAUGGGAAGCAACCUGAAUGGUACAAAAACAUGUUGCUAAUCUCUUCUGUCCUUAAAAAAACAAAAAACAAGUCAGUCAUAUUCUGUGUAAUGAAUCAUGUUUGUGUGCGGGCAUACCAUCGCUUUUGUACUUGCCAUUUUUGUAUUUCCUUGCACCUCAAGAAAACGUAAUGUGUGUGUGUUACGACCCCCUGGAUGGUCUAGGGGUGCGGGGACCAUAAACAUAUAGGCAGAACCUGGUCGGGUGUAAAAGGGUAGUAUUUAUUGGCAACCAGAGGUAAACAGGCACGUAACAACAAACAAAAGGAGGGUGGAUGAGGGUGCUGUGAAAAGACAAACUAAGUAAAAUAAAAGAGAUCCCCAAAAGGAGAACUAUGCCUGAAUAUACGUUAAAACAAACAGUAGGCGCUUACCAUAAAAAACACAAAGAGCACAGCACCCACUACACCUAUGAAGCUAACAAACACAGAACUACGUGUGGUGAAAUCAGUAUAGACUCUGGCCCUAACUCACCCCCUUUUGUCAGCUCCGUGCUGGCAAAAACACACAGAACCAAAGCACAGUUCUCUACCCAGUUGCACUCAAUUACAAACACAGAAGGCACACAAGUCCACUGGCCAAGACAAGCCACCCCGAGCCACUGGUGGGCUCUCCUUAAGAGCUGGAGGUAAGGCUGCGAUGGUGACCUGCCAUUGGGCGCGCUGGGACAGGGUGGACGAAUGGGUGGAGCUGGAGUGAACCUGUGGGGCUCCACCGAAACCAGGAAGUAGGCGGGGCUUCAGUCCACAGGGCCGCACAGCCUACUUGGUACAGACAAGACAGAAAUACAGACCACGGUGACAGCCGUAACAGUGUGUAUAUAUAUAAAAAAAACUCUUGCUUACUCCACCUUCAAAUGCAUAAUGUGUUGAGAAGGGAAAACAAAACUUUUAAGACUUUAUAAGUUCACCACUUUAACCAUAGCCUACUUGUAUCAAUGUUUAUUAGGCAUCAAUGGAGACUGCAUAAGGUAUGGGCACAAUAACAGUGGGUAGACAGGUAAAUAAUAUCAAUAUAUACAGCAAGACAGAUCACACCCAGGCCCCGAAUCCACCUCCUCAAAGUGAUCCACUCGCCACCGAGUCGGAGGUUCCUCUGUCAUCCUCACUGGCACCAUCAAGG